This 247-nucleotide long non-coding RNA is filed under the name Gossypium raimondii (Peruvian cotton). RNAcentral describes it as "long non-coding RNA (GRAI_LNC010536)". Lineage: Eukaryota; Viridiplantae; Streptophyta; Magnoliopsida; Malvales; Malvaceae. The record is from RNAcentral.
UUGGGUAAAUUAUAUUAGAAUGGGUCUGCUGGUUUGGUGGUUAAAUGGUGUGUUAUUAUGGUGGAGGUUUUAUAUUUGAAUCCCUAUGCAGGCAAGGGUAUUAUUUUUUGCUCAGAUUUCAGGACAGAGUUGUGUAAUAGGGGGAUUUUGAGUAGUGGGUGUGUAGUGGGAAUUAGGGGAGAAGAUUAAGGGAUUUUGGGAGUUUUCAGGAUUUUAUUUUAUUUAUUUUCCAUAACCGAAUUUUGAU